AUGGCUGUCGUCAGCUCGUGUCGUGAGAUGUUGGGUUAAGUCCCGCAACGAGCGCAACCCUCAUUUUUAGUUGCCAUCAGGUAAUGCUGGGCACUCUAAAGAAACUGCCGGUGAUAAGCUGGAGGAAGGCGGGGAUGACGUCAAGUCCUCAUGGCCCUUAUGGUCUGGGCUACACACGUGCUACAAUGGUGGUGACAGUGGGCAGCGAUUUCGCAAGAAAAAGCUAAUCCUCAAAAGCCAUCUCAGUUCAGAUUGGACUCUGCAACUCGAGUCCAUGAAGUUGGAAUCGCUAGUAAUCGUAGAUCAGCAUGCUACGGUGAAUACGUUCUCGGGCCUUGUACACACCGCCCGUCACGCCAUGGAAGUUGGUUUUACCUUAAGCCGGUGCGCUAACCGCAAGGAGGCAGCCGUUCACGGUAGGGUCAGCAACUGGGGCGAAGUCGUAACAAGGUAGCCGUAGGGGAACCUGCGGCUGGAUCACCUCCUUUCUAAGGAUAUUGAUAAUUAGUUCGCUAGUUAUCCGGGUUGUUGUCUAUGUAUCUCUUUAUAAUAUUAGCUAGUGCUAGGAGUUUUCUUUUGUAAACUGGGCUAGUAGCUCAGUUUGGUUAGAGCGCGCGCUUGAUAAGCGUGAGGUCGGAGGUUCAAGUCCUCCCUGGCCCACCAAUUAUAUAGGGGGGAUUAGCUCAGCUGGGAGAGCGCCUGAUUUGCAUUCAGGAGGUCAGCGGUUCGAUCCCGCUAUCCUCCACCAAAACUAGUUAACUGUCUUAUUUGUAUUGUUCUUUAAAAUGUAAAUAUGAAACUAAUUAAUAACUGAUCAAAUAAAUUAAAUUUUUUGAUUAAAAUACGUACAUAAAAUUUUUCUCUGUACGUAAUUGCAAUCAAGCGCAAAAGGGCAUUUAGUGGAUGCCUUGGCAUCAAGAGACGAUGAAGGACGUGGCAGGCUGCGAUAAGCUAAGGGGAGUUGUCAACACACUUUGAUCCUUAGAUAUCCGAAUGGGGAAACCCGG
This 1007-nucleotide small RNA is filed under the name uncultured bacterium. Its description in RNAcentral is "bacterial SSU rRNA". The stretch from base 1 to 488 matches the Rfam family "Bacterial small subunit ribosomal RNA", at positions 1045 to 1533 of the family's 1533-position model. The record is from RNAcentral.